AUGUCCUCGUCCCCAGCAACUGUACCGUGCUAUUCAGCCACCGUCAACGACCGGAGCCAUAAAACACACGAUCCCUCUCAGGAAGUCCCUGGCGGGGGUCACCAACCCCAUCAACCCCAGCAAGGUGAGGCGGACUCACACGCACCUUUACAAGCCUACAAGCACACACUUCUUUGCUCUGUUUUGCGUUGCUUUCUGCUAAAACGAGUAGGAACAGACUGGUGUUUUAAAAAGAAAGCUCCCGGUGAAAAGCCCUCAUUUACGCUUCAAGGAAUCAGGUUUCUUUCUGCAAACAAAGCUCCCCAGCUGCCCCAACGAGGGUCCUCUGAAAUGUCAGCUGGAGGAAAGCCUCGGCCCCGAGACCAGGGCAAGCUGUGCGUUGAAUUCAGCCCCUUGUUCAUAGGCAAGUCAUUCCCGACGGCCCGGGACCCGACGGGGCACGCGUUAACCACCCAGGUCCCCGACCCCCACCAUGCGCUCCAGUGGGCCCCUGCCCACCGCCCUGCUUCGCCUGGGACUGAGGGGGGCCCUCCCUGUUGGGAAACAACACGAACCUCCCCCCCUCCCGGAGCUCCUGCCUCUGCGGGAGCUGCUUCCCCCCGAAACACCCUCUGUGCCUCCGCCCUGCAUUUACUGGGCCUCACCGACCGCACCCCCCCCGCCCCCCCCCCCCACAAACCAGCCCUCCUACCAGCGGGCGCUCCCUGCUCUGCCUUGGCCUGUGGCCCCUUCUUUCACGGCUCUACAAUGCGCCUCCCAGGGACUUUGGGAAGUCAGACCCGCGUGGUCCCCCGUCCUGCCUGCACGCGACAGAGGGCCCACGAACGGCACCGAGCGCCCCCCCCCCGCCCCCCGGCAACUCUCCUCCUGUUACAAAACAUGCAGACAGCACCCACUCUCCUCUCUGGAAAAAGUCCCUGCGAAGUCUUCCAGCAUUUUUAUAGGUUUAGAGAUUUAUUUUGUAGCAUCAGACCUUUAGUCCAUCUGGAACUUGUUUUGCUGUGA
RNAcentral lists this long non-coding RNA (1005 nucleotides) under Felis catus (domestic cat). RNAcentral describes it as "lncRNA (ENSFCAG00000050325.1)". The record is from RNAcentral. Lineage: Eukaryota; Metazoa; Chordata; Mammalia; Carnivora; Felidae.